RNAcentral lists this ribosomal RNA (253 nucleotides) under uncultured bacterium. Its description in RNAcentral is "partial 16S ribosomal RNA". It matches the Rfam family "Bacterial small subunit ribosomal RNA", at positions 524 to 776 of the family's 1533-position model. The record is from RNAcentral.
UACGUAGGGGGCAAGCGUUGUCCGGAUUUAUUGGGCGUAAAGAGCUCGUAGGCGGUCUGUCGCGUCGGCUGUGAAAACCCGAGGCUCAACCUCGGGCCUGCAGUCGAUACGGGCAAACUAGAGUACUGCAGGGGAGACUGGAAUUCCUGGUGUAGCGGUGAAAUGCGCAGAUAUCAGGAGGAACACCGGUGGCGAAGGCGGGUCUCUGGGCAGUAACUGACGCUGAGGAGCGAAAGCGUGGGGAGCGAACAGG